Molecule: ribosomal RNA, 276 nt
Filed under: uncultured bacterium
Lineage: Bacteria
Description: partial 16S ribosomal RNA
Rfam family: Bacterial small subunit ribosomal RNA
Source: RNAcentral
CAAACUGGAGAUGGCGACCGGCGCACGGGUGAGUAACACGUAUCCAACCUGCCGAUAACUCGGGGAUAGCCUUUCGAAAGAAAGAUUAAUAUCCGAUAGCAUAUAUUUCCCGCAUGGGUUUUAUAUUAAAGAAAUUCGGUAUGAGAUGGGGAUGCGUUCCAUUAGUUUGUUGGGGGGGUAACGGCCCACCAAGACUACGAUGGAUAGGGGUUCUGAGAGGAAGGUCCCCCACAUUGGAACUGAGACACGGUCCAAACUCCUACGGGAGGCAGCAUG